GAUAACCAUUGGAAACGAUGGCUAAUACCGCAUAAUAGCUUCGGCUCAAAGAGGGGGACCUUCGGGCCUCUCGCGUCAGGAUAUGCCCAGGUGGGAUUAGCUAGUUGGUGAGGUAAUGGCUCACCAAGGCGACGAUCCCUAGCUGGUCUGAGAGGAUGAUCAGCCACACUGGAACUGAGACACGGUCCAGACUCCUACGGGAGGCAGCAGUGGGGAAUAUUGCACAAUGGGCGCAAGCCUGAUGCAGCCAUGCCGCGUGUAUGAAGAAGGCCUUCGGGUUGUAAAGUACUUUCAGCAGUGAGGAAGGUGGUGUCGUUAAUAGCGGCAUCAUUUGACGUUAGCUGCAGAAGAAGCACCGGCUAACUCCGUGCCAGCAGCCGCGGUAAUACGGAGGGUGCGAGCGUUAAUCGGAAUUACUGGGCGUAAAGCGCAUGCAGGUGGUUUGUUAAGUCAGAUGUGAAAGCCCGGGGCUCAACCUCGGAAUUGCAUUUGAAACUGGCAGACUAGAGUACUGUAGAGGGGGGUAGAAUUUCAGGUGUAGCGGUGAAAUGCGUAGAGAUCUGAAGGAAUACCGGUGGCGAAGGCGGCCCCCCUGGACAGAUACUGACACUCAGAUGCGAAAGCGUGGGGAGCAAACAGGAUUAGAUACCCCUGGUAGUCCACGCCCGUAAAACGAUGUCUACUUGGAGGUUUG
This 694-nucleotide ribosomal RNA is filed under the name Vibrio sp. 805F10. Its description in RNAcentral is "bacterial SSU rRNA". It matches the Rfam family "Bacterial small subunit ribosomal RNA", at positions 142 to 827 of the family's 1533-position model. Lineage: Bacteria; Pseudomonadati; Pseudomonadota; Gammaproteobacteria; Vibrionales; Vibrionaceae. The record is from RNAcentral.